RNAcentral lists this ribosomal RNA (385 nucleotides) under uncultured bacterium. Its description in RNAcentral is "bacterial SSU rRNA". It matches the Rfam family "Bacterial small subunit ribosomal RNA", at positions 92 to 511 of the family's 1533-position model. The record is from RNAcentral.
UAGCUGGUGAACGGGUGAGUAACACGUGAUUGCCUUUAGGAAGAGGAUAACUAUUAGAAAUAAGUUGCUAAAACUCUAUAUGCCUUACGGUGAAAAAAGAAAUUUGCCUACAGAGAAGCUCGCGUCUGAUUAGCUAGUUGGUGGGGUAAAGGCCUACCAAGGCGACGAUCAGUAGCUGGUCUGAGAGGAUGAUCAGCCACACGUGGAACUGAGACACGGUCCAGACUCCUACGGGAGGCAGCAGUGAGGAAUUUUCUGCAAUGGGCGAAAGCCUGACAGAGCAAUACCGCGUGAGGGAUGACGGCCUAUGGGUUGUAAACCUCUUUUCUCAAGGAGGAAAAUUUGACGUUACUUGAGGAAUAAGCAUCGGCUAACCCUGUGCCAG